AGAGAAGACAGACAUUUAUCUUUGCUGAGCACUGACUCUGGAAAUCGCAGCAAUCCUGGAGGAGCUCAAGGAUUCAUGACAGCAUCCACACUUACACAUGCAUUCACAGCAUGCUCUGACAGAAGCACCCAAAAGCUCUCACAGGCAUUGUUCUGAGCACCAGAGAGAAACAGGGAAUAUGACCC
Molecule: non-coding RNA, 185 nt
Organism: Macaca mulatta (Rhesus monkey)
Lineage: Eukaryota; Metazoa; Chordata; Mammalia; Primates; Cercopithecidae
Source: RefSeq, a predicted model, not a curated record